Cinara cedri is the source of this 212-nucleotide non-coding RNA. Lineage: Eukaryota; Metazoa; Arthropoda; Insecta; Hemiptera; Aphididae. The record is from the annotation of a GenBank genome assembly.
ACAAGUUGAUAUAAUAUAUACAGACUUUGCCAAGGCAUUUGAUUCUGUUAAUCACAAAGUUCUUCAUAGAAUACUACGAUCUUCUGGUUUUGGAGACCACCUUCUUACUUGGUUGAAGUCUUAUUUAGCACAAAGGCCACAGUGAUUAAAACUUUAUGGUGUAAGGUCUGAUCCUUUUAUUGCAACUUCAGGUGUACCCCAAGGAGGUCAUC